AACAAAUAUAUGAAUGUAUAUUAUACCUAUACGUGAGAUAUGAAACCUAAUUAAAAGGUAGAAAAAACAUAACAUACCUACAAAUAAGACACAUUAAUCCGUGACAGGUUGAUUAUUAAAAAAAAAAGGUUAUAUAGGUAGAUAAAUAUAAUUAACCUGUGAUAUAGGUUAAUUAUAAAAUUAAAAAUAAAAUCUAUAAAUAGGGUUUAAAGCAGAAGAAGAAUGAGAAAUAACAAAAAGAUGAAUAAAAAGAAAUAAGCAAAGAUAUAAUUGGGAAGAAAUUUGAUUUUAACAAUAAAUCUUAUGAUUGAACAGAUAACUAUUGAUAAUUAAAUAAUUAAAUAUAACAAAUUGGACUUAUUUUAAUAAACUGGACUAUUCCUACUAUUGGUUCAAAAAUUGAACUUAUAUCAAGUUUCCCCUUUUAUUUAAUGGUGAUUUUUGUGAUUAUAAGUGACAAAAGAUAAAAAUAAAAAUUAAAGAGUGGCAAUCGCUUUGAAUACGUGCCUUGAAAACGUAAAUAUGAAUUCUAGUGACAAGGAUUUGUCCCAAUACGUAAAUAUGGAUGCUAACGAUAUAAACAAUGAAAUAAUAAAAAUAGCAUUUUUGUUUUUGUGAACACUCCAAUAAAUUUAGUUUUAGCAUUCUCUCUUCUUUGGGUUAUUGUUUUUCUUCGUGAAAAAAGACUAGGAUCCGGUACAGAGCUUAUUACUAAAUUUAUCAACAAAAAAACAUUUUAAAACAGUUACAUGGUGAAAAUUACCAACCAAACACAAGGUUGGCUAUAGUUAUGUGCUAAAUUGGCAAAACAAUAAUGUUAAAAUUAUGGUGGUUUUUUUUAUUUUGAAACUCCCGAAUAGAAGGUUUGCAUUCUCUUUUUUUAUUACAAGGGAAAUAUAAUCUAUAUACUAAAGCUGAAAAUACACUGAAAAUUUAAUCUAUACUUCCGAAAAUGCUCCUGCCUUAAUUGUGUAAUUUCGAUGUCAGUCCAAUUGAAAUCUGAUUGAAUCUGGACCGUUCAUUAUUUUUGGGCACUGUUUUAAGAAAUCAGUCCGUCCAUUUUUAUCUUCUUCUCCACUCUCUGCUGAACAUCAUUUUUUUCUCUAACACUGCGAUAACCACAAGCCCCACCCACGAACCCAGAUACUCCUAAAACAAUCACCAUUCUCAUCCUUUCGACCUCAUGAACUCAAGUCUGAGCCCAGUCUUACAUUCUAGGGCAAGAUUUCUUGGCUUGCAUGUACCAUUUGGUGAAGGUUUGAAGAAGGCUGAAGCUCAAUCUGUAACCCAGAUUCCGGCGAGAUUUUCAGGCGAAUCCGCUAGCUUCUGUCUUUUUGAAGCCCUCACAGUCAUCCAAUCACCAAAUCAUAGGUAUAUUUCGAUUCUACAGCUCUUAGGCUUUAUUUGACCGUCUGAGUCUUAUAGGUGAUUUUGGGUCUGUAUAUUGUGAUUGAUGUCGAAAUUUGGGGUUAAUAGAUUCUUCAGCUUAGAUUUGGAUCAUUUUUGGGUCUGCAUGUUGUAAUUGAUGUUAAAAUUCUAAACUUUUGACAAUCUCUAUUUGAUUCAUCGAAUUUUGCUCUAUAAAUGAUGUAAGAGUCAGUCUCCGAGGGGUUUAAGAGAGUUUUACAGGAGUUUACAUCUGCUGUAAUAAAUAUGAAAUUAAUAUUACUAAUUAAAAUUCAUACCUAACUGUACUGUCGUAAGAUAAAUCGAAAUAAUUGUUAGUAUUAUCAGCUUUUGGUUUGAUCUGUUAACUACAUUGGAAGAGGCAUGAAACUAUCGAAAUUACAGAGAAGAAGAAGAUGAAGGUUUAGAAGGAAAUCAAAGCUUGUAUUUGAUAGUUGAACAGAUUACAUAAAAUGAGAGAGAAUUUACAAUUUAUACUAGCCUACAAAGUAACUAACUCUAACCUUCUAACAAACUCUUACUAGACCAAUCUCCACCAUUCAAUCAUAAACCAAUCUCCACCAUACAUGUAUUAAUACUCCCCCUCAAUCUCAACUGGGUAUCCCAGUUUGAGAUUGCAGCAAAGUGAGUAUGAGAUAAACUGUUGAAUAUUGCAAUUUGAGACAUUCGCUUAUUGAUCUUUGCAAUCUCCAAAGUGGUCUACCCUGCACCCGGUCCAGACUCCAGUAUACGACUCUUCUGCUAUACUUGCCAAUCAUGUAUCAAAGUUUUGGCACUAAUGUUGAUUCACAUUAUCCUUUUCUUCUAAGCAGACAACCACAGUGGGGUAGCAGCAAUAGAAAUGAGAAUUUCCAGAAAGCAUAAAACCCAAAACCUCCAUCACUUGUGAAUACUCCAACUUGUUAAACAAUGCACCACUAUCUGAAACAGAAAGCACAGACAGAGCUAAACAUGCUAUCAAUGUCAUUACACCCAUUUUCUACGUCAUCAACCAUAUCAUCUUCUAUAUCAUCAACCACAAAUCAAAUAGUUUCCUCUUUGUGGACAGAUCAUUCUACAAACACUUGUCAUUAUACAAACUGAAAACUUUAGCAAGCGAACCAAUGGACUGAAGCCAUGACACUAUUCCUUUGCCUUUAACAUGAGCUUCACAAAGAACAUCAUCUUAUAAAGUUGUAACGUACCCUCAUGCCGGUUAUCACAAUUUCUUGCGGGAGUACCCUUCGUGGGAUUUACCGUUAACAACAUCAUUUAACAUUGGCUUCGGCCUUCAAAAUAGAAAAUUAACAAACUAUAGUGUGACAUCGGCCUUAACUAUAGUACCACGUGAUCGCCCUUUGUGGAUUUUACCAAAAAAACAACUACUUUUAACAGUGGCAUCGGCCUUCACAAUCAACUACUCUUAACAGUGGCUUUGGCCUUCACAAUUUUAACAACAGAAAAUCAACAUCUAUGUAGGAUUACCCUUCGUGGG
RNAcentral lists this long non-coding RNA (2881 nucleotides) under Malus domestica (apple). RNAcentral describes it as "long non-coding RNA (MDOM_LNC015767)". Lineage: Eukaryota; Viridiplantae; Streptophyta; Magnoliopsida; Rosales; Rosaceae. The record is from RNAcentral.